This 412-nucleotide ribosomal RNA is filed under the name uncultured microorganism. RNAcentral describes it as "bacterial SSU rRNA". It matches the Rfam family "Archaeal small subunit ribosomal RNA", at positions 330 to 745 of the family's 1478-position model. The record is from RNAcentral.
GCACAGCAGUCGAGAACCCUCGCAAUGCGGGAAACCGCGACGAGGGGACUCCCAGUGCCUACGCUCAGCGUAGGCUGUUCCCGAGCCUAGAAAGCUCGGGGAGUAAGGGCUGGGUAAGACGGGUGCCAGCCGCCGCGGUAAUACCCGCAGCCCGAGUGGUGGCCACUAUUAUUGGGCCUAAAGCGUCCGUAGCCGGCCCGGUAAAUGCCUGGGUAAAUCGUGAGGCCUAACCUCACGAAUUCCGGGUAGACUGCCGGGCUAGGGACCGGAGGAGGGAGAGGGUACUCCAGGGGUAGGGGUGAAAUCCUGUAAUCCCUGGAGGACCACCGGUGGCGAAGGCGCUCUCCUAGGACGGGUCCGACGGUGAGGGACGAAAGCCAGGGGAGCGAACCGGAUUAGAUACCCGCGUAGU